This is a long non-coding RNA of Cataglyphis hispanica, 435 nucleotides long. RefSeq lists it as uncharacterized. The transcript is spliced from 3 exons. The record is from RefSeq and is a predicted model, not a curated record. NCBI's taxonomy places the organism in Eukaryota, Metazoa, Arthropoda, Insecta, Hymenoptera, Formicidae.
CAGAUACUCGCCCGACACACAUGUCAGAACAGCGAGGAGCGUCCAUAAGCGUCUCCGCAUUUCAUACACACGAUGUCUGGAAAAUAUAGUUUAUGCUCAAUUUAUGUAAUCACUUGGCUCGCUCCAUCGAUUUAGGUCGAAUAACGUUGUAUGGUGACAUGCAUUCGUGCGCUGAAAUCAUCCGUGUGAGUAUGCGAUGACGCCGUUCACCCCAUUCAUAACAUGAUUAUAAUGUUCAUGAUUUUACGGUCGUGACCCGUAGUGUUUCCUCUGACACGGUGAAUGGAACACGCCAGGUGAUGUUGAUUUUUUUAUACCUUGAUUUUGUGUGGAAAGAUUGUGAAUCACAGAUUUAAAAGGUGAGCAGAUUUAAAAUCGAAGCCUCCUCUUGGAUUUCCGCGAUUCUUGAUGUUAUUUAUUCAUCCAUCAGCGCGC